RNAcentral lists this transfer RNA (66 nucleotides) under Rhabdoblatta orlovi. Its description in RNAcentral is "tRNA-Ala". It matches the Rfam family "tRNA". Rfam says of the family: Transfer RNA (tRNA) molecules are approximately 80 nucleotides in length. Their secondary structure includes four short double-helical elements and three loops (D, anti-codon, and T loops). Lineage: Eukaryota; Metazoa; Arthropoda; Insecta; Blattodea; Blaberidae. The record is from RNAcentral.
AGGAUAAUAGUUAAUUAUAACAUUUGAUUUGCAUUCAAAAAGUAUUGAAACUACUCAGUUUAUCUU